UAUAAAUAUGUUAGGUACAAAAAAGAAUUUUGAAUUCUUUAUAUUUAGUUCAAUUCUAAAAUUUAUAA
RNAcentral lists this transfer RNA (68 nucleotides) under Galathealinum brachiosum. Its description in RNAcentral is "tRNA-Gln". Lineage: Eukaryota; Metazoa; Annelida; Polychaeta; Sabellida; Siboglinidae. The record is from RNAcentral.